Molecule: unclassified non-coding RNA, 202 nt
Filed under: soil metagenome
Description: partial contains 5.8S ribosomal RNA, internal transcribed spacer 2, and large subunit ribosomal RNA
Source: RNAcentral
AACCUAGCACACCUGCGGUGUGUACCUGCGGAAGGAUCAUUACCUAGAGUUGUAGGCUUUGCCUGCUAUCUCUUACCCAUGUCUUUUGAGUACCUUACGUUUCCUCGGUGGGCUCGCCCACCGAUUGGACAAAUUUGAACCCUUUGCAGUUGAAAUCAGCGUCUGAAAAAACUUAAUAGUUACAACUUUCAACAACGGAUCU